UCGGGAAUUUUGGGCAAUGGGCGAAAGCCUGACCCAGCAACGCCGCGUGAGGGAUGAAGUGUUUCGGUAUGUAAACCUCGAAAGAAUGGGAAGAAUAAAUGACGGUACCAUUUAUAAGCUCCGGCUAACUACGUGCCAGCAGCCGCGGUAAUACGUAGGGAGCAAGCGUUGUUCGGAUUUACUGGGCGUAACGGGCGCGUAGGCGGCGCGGUAAGUCACUUGUGAAAUCUCUGAGCUUAACUCAGAACGGCCAAGUGAUACUGCUGUGCUAGAGUGCGGAAGAGGCAACCGGAAUUCUUGGUGUAGCGGUGAAAUGCGUAGAUAUCAAGAGGAACACCUGAGGCGAAGGCGGGUUGCUGGGCCGACACUGACGCUGAUGCGCGAAAGCCAGGGGAGCAAACG
Molecule: ribosomal RNA, 402 nt
Filed under: uncultured bacterium
Lineage: Bacteria
Description: bacterial SSU rRNA
Rfam family: Bacterial small subunit ribosomal RNA
Source: RNAcentral